This 497-nucleotide ribosomal RNA is filed under the name uncultured bacterium. RNAcentral's name for it is "partial 16S ribosomal RNA". It matches the Rfam family "Bacterial small subunit ribosomal RNA", at positions 28 to 507 of the family's 1533-position model. The record is from RNAcentral.
GACGAACGCUGGCGGCGUGCCUAAUACAUGCAAGUAGAACGCUGAAGGAAGGAGCUUGCUCUUUCUGGCUGAGUUGCGAACGGGUGAGUAACGCGUAGGUAACCUGCCUGGUAGCGGGGGAUAACUAUUGGAAACGAUAGCUAAUACCGCAUAAAAUUGAUUAUUGCAUGAUAGUCAAUUAAAAGGUGCAACUGCACCACUACCAGAUGGACCUGCGUUGUAUUAGCUAGUUGGUGGGGUAACGGCUCACCAAGGCGACGAUACAUAGCCGACCUGAGAGGGUGAUCGGCCACACUGGGACUGAGACACGGCCCAGACUCCUACGGGAGGCAGCAGUAGGGAAUCUUCGGCAAUGGACGGAAGUCUGACCGAGCAACGCCGCGGGAGUGAAGAAGGGUUUCGGAUCGGAAAGCUCUGUUGUAAGAGAAGAACGAGUGUGAGAGUGGAAAGUUCACACUGUGACGGUAUCUUACCAGAAAGGGACGGCUAACUACGUG